RNAcentral lists this small RNA (585 nucleotides) under Pongo abelii (Sumatran orangutan). RNAcentral describes it as "sense overlapping". The record is from RNAcentral. Lineage: Eukaryota; Metazoa; Chordata; Mammalia; Primates; Hominidae.
GGCAGCGAGAGGCCCGCGCUGAGGCGGCGCAGCGCAAAGGGGCGGACGCUGAGGGCGGCCAGGGCGCGGCCGGCCGCGGGGAACUCUAGGCGCAGCGUGACGGCGGCGUGCAGCCCCACGGCCGGGCUGUAGCGCGUGAGCUCCACGAACACAGCACGGCUCCUGCGCAGAGGGUGCGGGGUCUGGCUGGACUAAAGGCAAAACUAAAGCCCAGAAGACAGACCAGUGCACCGGAUGCCCGUACCGCGUGAUGGCUAGGAAAGCCCGGCUGUGCAGUUCCUGCUUGAUGGCGCUCUGCAGACGGAGCCAGUGAACACCGAGGCUUUACCACUGCAUCAGGGCACCAUGCUGAUGUGCCCAGUCCCAGAGCUGCUAGAGAAGAGGUAUAGAGGCAGUGAAGACGCAUUGAGGGGGAGGACGAGACCAACUGCGACACACCGGGACGCUCUCCUGUACCUGCGCCCUCAUCAGCCCAUCACCUAAAGAACGGCCUGACCCAAGGUCACACUGCAUUGAAUGCUUCCUGUUUUGCUGUCUCUCGGAGGAUAAAAGACACUCUUGGCUGGGCACGGUGGCUCAAGCCUG